This 462-nucleotide ribosomal RNA is filed under the name Acinetobacter sp. SI5. Its description in RNAcentral is "bacterial SSU rRNA". It matches the Rfam family "Bacterial small subunit ribosomal RNA", at positions 96 to 553 of the family's 1533-position model. Lineage: Bacteria; Pseudomonadati; Pseudomonadota; Gammaproteobacteria; Moraxellales; Moraxellaceae. The record is from RNAcentral.
CGGCGGACGGGUGAGUAAUGCUUAGGAAUCUGCCUAUUAGUGGGGGACAACGUUUCGAAAGGAACGCUAAUACCGCAUACGCCCUACGGGGGAAAGCAGGGGMUCUUCGGACCUUGCGCUAAUAGAUGAGCCUAAGUCAGAUUAGCUAGUUGGUGGGGUAAAGGCCUACCAAGGCGACGAUCUGUAGCGGGUCUGAGAGGAUGAUCCGCCACACUGGGACUGAGACACGGCCCAGACUCCUACGGGAGGCAGCAGUGGGGAAUAUUGGACAAUGGGSGGAACCCUGAUCCAGCCAUGCCGCGUGUGUGAAGAAGGCCUUUUGGUUGUAAAGCACUUUAAGCGAGGAGGAGGCUCCUAUAGAUAAUACCUAUAGUGAGUGGACGUUACUCGCAGAAUAAGCACCGGCUAACUCUGUGCCAGCAGCCGCGGUAAUACAGAGGGUGCGAGCGUUAAUCGGAUUUA